UACGUAGGGAGCAAGCGUUGUUCGGAUUUACUGGGCGUAAAGGGCGCGUAGGCGGCCUUCUUAGUCGGACGUGAAAUCCCCAGGCUCAACCCAGGAACUGCGUCCGAGACUGGGAGGCUAGAAUCCGGGAGAGGGAUGUGGAAUUCCAGGUGUAGCGGUGAAAUGCGUAGAUAUCUGGAGGAACAUCGGUGGCGAAGGCGGCAUCCUGGACCGGUAUUGACGCUGAGGCGCGAAAGCCAGGGGAGCAAACGGG
RNAcentral lists this ribosomal RNA (253 nucleotides) under uncultured bacterium. RNAcentral's name for it is "partial 16S ribosomal RNA". It matches the Rfam family "Bacterial small subunit ribosomal RNA", at positions 524 to 776 of the family's 1533-position model. The record is from RNAcentral.